ACUGCAACCUGAGGAUUGUGCGGUUUAAUUGGAUUCAACGCCGGAAAACUCACCAUAGCCGACGGACAAAUGAAGGCCAGCGUAACGAGCUUGCUGGAUUGUUCGAGAGGUAUUGCAUGGCCGUCGUCAGUUCGUACCGUAAGGCGUUCUGUUAAGUCAGAUAACGAACGAGACCCUCGUCCCUAUUUGCCAACCAGGUCCCCGGAUCUGGCGCACUAUAGGGAGACUGCCCGCGCUAAGUGGGAUGAAGGGGAGGGCAACGGUAGGUCAGUAUGAUCCGAAUGCUAUGGGCUACACGCGCAAUACAAAGGACGGGACAAUGGGCUGCAACUCCGAGAGGAACGACGCUAUCCCGAAACCCGUUCGUAGUUCGGAUUGAGGGCUGUAACUCGCCCUCAUGAAGCUGGAUUAGGUAGUAAUCGCGUCUCAAUAGGGCGCGGUGAAUAUGCCCCUGCUCCUUGCACACACCGCCCGUCAAACCAUCUUAGUUGGGGGUGGGUGAGGCUACCUUUGAAUGGGGUAUUCGAGCCUGCCUUCGACAAGGAGGGUUAAGUCGUAACAAGGUAUCUGUAGGGGAACCUGCAGAUG
This 588-nucleotide ribosomal RNA is filed under the name marine metagenome. Its description in RNAcentral is "bacterial SSU rRNA". It matches the Rfam family "Archaeal small subunit ribosomal RNA", at positions 878 to 1467 of the family's 1478-position model. The record is from RNAcentral.